This 244-nucleotide unclassified non-coding RNA is filed under the name uncultured Lasiosphaeriaceae. RNAcentral describes it as "sequence contains ITS2". Lineage: Eukaryota; Fungi; Ascomycota; Sordariomycetes; Sordariales; Lasiosphaeriaceae. The record is from RNAcentral.
AACGCACAUUGCGCCCGCUAGUAUUCUGGCGGGCAUGCCUGUUCGAGCGUCAUUUCAACCAUCAAGCCCCCGGCUUGCGUUGGAGCCCUGCGGCUGCCGCAGGCUCCCAAAUCUAGUGGCGGGCUCGUCGUCGUACCGAGUGCAGUAAACAUCCUCGCUCAGGGAACGCGUCGGGUUCUUGCCGUGAAACCCCCCCCAUAUUAAGGUUGACCUCGGAUCAGGUAGGAAUACCCGCUGAACUUAA